AUUGAACGCUGGCGGCAGGCCUAACACAUGCAAGUCGAACGAGUGGCGGACGGGUGAGUAAUGUCUGGGAAACUGCCUGAUGGAGGGGGAUAACUACUGGAAACGGUAGAUAACAACGCAUACCAGCAGAUGUGCCCAGAUGGGAUUAGUUAGUUGGUGGGGUAACGGCUCACCAAGGCGACGAUCCCUAGCUGGUCUUAUAGGAUGACCAGCCACACUGGAACUGAGACACGGUCCAGACUCCUACGGGAGGCAGCAGUGGUGAUUAUUGCACAUGGGGCGCAAGCCUGAUGCAGCCAUGCCGCGUGUAUUAAGAAGGCGUUCGGGUUGUAACGUACUUUCAGCGGGUCGGCGUUACACGCAGACGAAGCACCGGCUAACUCCGUGCCAGCAGCCGCGGUAAUAC
Molecule: ribosomal RNA, 406 nt
Filed under: uncultured bacterium
Lineage: Bacteria
Description: partial 16S ribosomal RNA
Rfam family: Bacterial small subunit ribosomal RNA
Source: RNAcentral